RNAcentral lists this ribosomal RNA (256 nucleotides) under uncultured bacterium. Its description in RNAcentral is "partial 16S ribosomal RNA". It matches the Rfam family "Bacterial small subunit ribosomal RNA", at positions 524 to 776 of the family's 1533-position model. The record is from RNAcentral.
UACGUAGGGUGCAAGCGUUGUCCGGAAUUAUUGGGCGUAAAGAGCUCGUAGGCGGCCUGUCGCAUCGGCUGUGAAAACUCAGGGCUCAACCCUGAGCCUGCAGUCGAUACGGGCAGGCUAGAGUCCGGCAGGGGGAGACUGGAAUUCCUGGUGUAGCGGUGAAAUGCGCAGAUAUCAGGAGGAACACCGGUGGCGAAGGCGGGUCUCUGGGCCGGAACUGGACGCUGGAGGAGCGAAAGCGUGGGGAGCGAACAGG